RNAcentral lists this small RNA (29 nucleotides) under Bombyx mori (domestic silkworm). RNAcentral describes it as "ovarian small RNA-14357". Lineage: Eukaryota; Metazoa; Arthropoda; Insecta; Lepidoptera; Bombycidae. The record is from RNAcentral.
CGCCGAAAGAUCGGGACCCGUCUCGGUCC